RNAcentral lists this small nuclear RNA (139 nucleotides) under uncultured Mantoniella. RNAcentral describes it as "partial Dictyostelium signal recognition particle". The record is from RNAcentral. Lineage: Eukaryota; Viridiplantae; Chlorophyta; Mamiellophyceae; Mamiellales.
UACUUUUAUCCUGACGCUGAGAGCCUGGUGGUCGGUAUGACCUCCGCGAAUACCCAUUUCGAGGAUAUUAAAAUCAAAGGCACCAAGAGAGCGAACAAGGCUAAGCGUAUCGAAGAAGAGAGGAAGAACCCGACGAAAA